AUUGAACGCUGGCGGCAGGCCUAACACAUGCAAGUCGAGCGGAUGAAGGGAGCUUGCUCCUGGAUUCAGCGGCGGACGGGUGAGUAAUGCCUAGGAAUCUGCCUGGUAGUGGGGGAUAACGUCCGGAAACGGGCGCUAAUACCGCAUACGUCCUGAGGGUGAAAGGGGGGGAUCUUCGGACCUCACGCUAUUAGCUGAGCCUAGGUCGGAUUAGCUAGUUGGUGGGGUAAAGGCCUACCAAGGCGACGAUCCGUAACUGGUCUGAGAGGCUGAUCAGUCACACUGGAACUGAGACACGGUCCAGACUCCUACGGGAGGCAGCAGUGGGGAAUAUUGGACAAUGGGCGAAAGCCUGACGCAGCCAUGCCGCGUGUGUGAAGAAGGUCUUCGGAUUGUAAAGCACUUUAAGUUGGGAGGAAGGGCAGUAAGUUAAUACCUUGCUGUCUUGACGUUACCAACAGAAUAAGCACCGGCUAACUUCGUG
This 484-nucleotide ribosomal RNA is filed under the name uncultured bacterium. RNAcentral's name for it is "partial 16S ribosomal RNA". It matches the Rfam family "Bacterial small subunit ribosomal RNA", at positions 30 to 507 of the family's 1533-position model. The record is from RNAcentral.